Molecule: long non-coding RNA, 375 nt
Organism: Nerophis ophidion (straightnose pipefish)
Lineage: Eukaryota; Metazoa; Chordata; Actinopteri; Syngnathiformes; Syngnathidae
Exons: 2
Source: RefSeq, a predicted model, not a curated record
CCCCGGUGACCCACGUCCGGGCGAGGGAAAUCUGGGUUCAUUUCGUUGUAAUUCCAUAGAAGUCUUUGAGCUGCUCUUUGUCUGAUCACUCACCUAGGACCUGUUUGUCUUGGGAGACCCUACCAGGGGGCAUGAAAACCCCCAGACAACAUAGCUCCUAGGAUCAUUGGGACACGCAAACUCCUCUACCACGCUGAAUAGGACCACAAGGACUCACCUGACCCUCAUGAAUUCAUCAUUUACUGAGAGGACGACUCUGUUGGACGUUGCGGACAAAAGCCUCACUUUUUUAUAAAAAAUUUACAAAACAUUGUUUUGAAUAUGAUUGCUUGGUAUUUCAACUAGGCAUUUUUUAAUAAACAAACUGUGAACUCA